AUUGAACGCUGGCGGCAGGCUUAACACAUGCAAGUCGAGCGGGGGAAGGUAGCUUGCUACCGGACCUAGCGGCGGACGGGUGAGUAAUGCCUAGGAAUCUGCCUAUUAGUGGGGGACAACAUCUCGAAAGGGAUGCUAAUACCGCAUACGUCCUACGGGAGAAAGCAGGGGAUCUUCGGACCUUGCGCUAAUAGAUGAGCCUAAGUCGGAUUAGCUAGUUGGUGGGGUAAAGGCCUACCAAGGCGACGAUCUGUAGCGGGUCUGAGAGGAUGAUCCGCCACACUGGGACUGAGACACGGCCCAGACUCCUACGGGAGGCAGCAGUGGGGAAUAUUGGACAAUGGGGGAAACCCUGAUCCAGCCAUGCCGCGUGUGUGAAGAAGGCCUUAUGGUUGUAAAGCACUUUAAGCGAGGAGGAGGCUACUUUAGUUAAUACCUAGAGAUAGUGGACGUUACUCGCAGAAUAAGCACCGGCUAACUCUGUGCCAGCAGCCGCCGCCG
RNAcentral lists this ribosomal RNA (501 nucleotides) under uncultured bacterium. Its description in RNAcentral is "partial 16S ribosomal RNA". It matches the Rfam family "Bacterial small subunit ribosomal RNA", at positions 30 to 523 of the family's 1533-position model. The record is from RNAcentral.